Molecule: ribosomal RNA, 501 nt
Filed under: uncultured archaeon
Lineage: Archaea
Description: bacterial SSU rRNA
Rfam family: Archaeal small subunit ribosomal RNA
Source: RNAcentral
GCACUACAACGGGUGGAGCCUGCGGUUCAAUUGGAUUCAACGCCGGAAAACUCACCGGGGGCGACAGCGGGAUGAAGGUCAGGCUGAAGACCUUACCCGACUAGCUGAGAGGUGGUGCAUGGCCAUCGUCAGCUCGUACCGUGAGGCGUCCUGUUAAGUCAGGCAACGAGCGAGAUCCUCGCCCUUAGUUGCCAUCGGUGGAAAGCCGGGCACUCUAGGGGGACCGCUGGCGCUAAGUCAGAGGAAGGAGAGGGCGACGGUAGGUCAGUAUGCCCCGAAUCCCCUGGGCUACACGCGGGUCACAAUGCGCAGGACAAUGAGAUGCAGCCCCGUAAGGGGAAGCCAAACCCAUAAACCUGCGCUCGGUUCGGAUCGAGGGCUGUAACUCGCCCUCGUGAAGCUGGAAUCUCUAGUAAUCGCGUGUCAUUAACGCGCGGUGAAUACGUCCCUGCUCCUUGCACACACAGCCCGUCGUUCCACUCGAGUGGGUUUUGGGUGAGG